Molecule: ribosomal RNA, 397 nt
Filed under: uncultured bacterium
Lineage: Bacteria
Description: bacterial SSU rRNA
Rfam family: Bacterial small subunit ribosomal RNA
Source: RNAcentral
GACGAACGCUGGCGGCAUGCCUAAUACAUGCAAGUCGAGCGGAGUUGUUUUGAAAGCUUGCUUUCAAAACAACUUAGCGGCGGACGGGUGAGUAACACGUAGGUAACCUGCCUAUAAGACUGGGAUAACUACCGGAAACGGUAGCUAAUACCGGAUAAUUUAUUUCUUCUCCUGAAGAGAUACUAAAAGGCGGAGUAAUCUGCCACUUAUAGAUGGACCUGCGGCGCAUUAGCUAGUUGGGAGGUAACGGCUCACCAAGGCGACGAUGCGUAGCCGACCUGAGAGGGUGAACGGCCACACUGGGACUGAGACACGGCCCAGACUCCUACGGGAGGCAGCAGUAGGGAAUCUUCCGCAAUGGACGAAAGUCUGACGGAGCAAUGCCGCGUGAGUGAUG